This 468-nucleotide ribosomal RNA is filed under the name uncultured bacterium. RNAcentral describes it as "bacterial SSU rRNA". It matches the Rfam family "Bacterial small subunit ribosomal RNA", at positions 340 to 793 of the family's 1533-position model. The record is from RNAcentral.
UACGGGGAGGCAGCAGUGGGGGAAUAGUUGCACAAUGGGCGCAAGCCUGAUGCAGCCAUGCCGCGUGUGUGAAGAAGGACCUUCGGGUUGUAAAGCACUUUCAGUCGUGAGGAAGGUAGUGUAGUUAAUAGCUGCAUUAUUUGACGUUAGCGACAGAAGAAGCACCGGCUAACUCCGUGCCAGCAGCCGCGGUAAUACGGAGGGUGCGAGCGUUAAUCGGAAUUACUGGGCGUAAAGCGCAUGCAGGUGGUUUGUUAAGUCAGAUGUGAAAGCCCGGGGCGUCAACCUCGGAAUUGCAUUUGUAAACUGGCAGACUAGAGUACUGUAGAGGGGGGUAGGAAUUUCAGGUGUAGCGGUGAAAUGCGUAGAGAUCUGAAGGAAUACCGGUGGCGAAGGCGGCCCCCUGGACAGAUACUGACACUCAGAUGCGAAAGCGUGGGGAGCAAACAGGAUUAGAUACCCUGGUAG